Molecule: long non-coding RNA, 900 nt
Organism: Folsomia candida
Lineage: Eukaryota; Metazoa; Arthropoda; Collembola; Entomobryomorpha; Isotomidae
Exons: 4
Source: RefSeq, a predicted model, not a curated record
UGUACGUGAUCUCGCUCGCAAACAUUGUCUGCAAUUUUAAUACAUUUUGCAAAGACACCCAAAACAAAAAUUUGGCAUGUGUAACCAUGUUUACUUAAAGUUAUACAAAAAUAUGUAAAAUUGUACUGAAGAAUCAUCUUGAAUCCACCAAAAUGCACCUCUGGAAGAGAAUAGUUUUCAUCGGGAUCGGAUUUUUUGAAUCGCUUACUGUCACCGGACUCCGGUGACUGGAGUAAUCUUCGGGUGGCCCGCACUCGUCCAAGCGAGAAGGAUGAAGAGAAGGAUGAAACUGGGAAGACUGCCCCAACUCCAACUUCUCCUCCUAGCGUGAGGAGGAGGACCCUAUCGAAAGGUUGGCGGCAAAAUUUCGCUCAUCCGUUUUUGUCCUGACAUUAGCGAGUGCAUUGACCUUAGCGGUUUAUAUUUGCAAAAUAUCCUACUCGCCAAACGCAGUGUACGAUUCAAUCGUUCUGAUCUCAAUUGUGAGACCGAUUUCGAUCGCGAGUUUGUACUCGUACGUCCAAUUAUGUUUCUAUCCGGAGCAUUUCAACCGACUGAUGGAAAUUUCCUACACCAUAAUUUCCAUCGUUGGUCUUCUUCAGUACCCGCAAUAUUUGUGGUUAUUCAAAUCUGAAGAGUCUUACGUUCGGGCAAUUUAUACCUUCUGCUUCAUGAUUCUAUUGACAUUUGUAAGUCCGGGACAUUUAUUGGUUACCUCGCUUACACGAAAAUAUGCAGUGAGAGAAAUACGAAAACGAAAAUUAGUUCAGUAGCACGUGUUAAAAUUUUGAAAAAUAAAUUUGAUAGAAAGAAAUACCAAUAAAUAAGAUUUAAUAUUUCAGAAUCAUUCUGAAAUACUGUGCAAACUUUUCUAGUUUUGAGUAAAUCGGAUAAUAAAUC